This 431-nucleotide ribosomal RNA is filed under the name uncultured bacterium. RNAcentral's name for it is "partial 16S ribosomal RNA". It matches the Rfam family "Bacterial small subunit ribosomal RNA", at positions 338 to 795 of the family's 1533-position model. The record is from RNAcentral.
CCUACGGGAGGCAGCAGUAGGGAAUAUUGGGCAAUGGAGGCGACUCUGACCCAGCCAUGCCGCGUGCAGGAAGAAGGCGUACGCGUUGUAAACUGCUUUUUUUCGGGAAGCGGUACCGAAGGAAUCAGCACCGGCUAACUCCGUGCCAGCAGCCGCGGUAAUACGGAGGGUGCAAGCGUUGUCCGGAUUCAUUGGGUUUAAAGGGUGCGCAGGCGGGACAUUAAGUCAGGGGUGAAAGACGGUUGCUCAACAAUCGCAGUGCCUUUGAUACUGGUGUUCUUGGGUGACCUUGAGGUAGGCGGAAUGGGUGGUGUAGCGGUGAAAUGCAUAGAUACCACCCAGAACUCCGAUUGCGAAGGCAGCCUACUGGGGUAACCGACGCUCAGGCACGAAAGCGUGGGGAUCAAACAGGAUUAGAUACCCUUGUAGUC